GUGUGUGUGUGUGUGUGUGUGUGUGUGUGUGUGUGUGUGUGUGUGUGUGUGUGUGUGUGUGUGUGUGUGUGUGUUAAACUGAAGGACAACCAACACGUUAGCUGGCAUCCAUUCCUUGUAUUUCAAAUAAAAUGUUAUGCCCCGAAUACAACAGGUGUAGUAGACCUUACCAUGAAAUGCUUACUUACAAGCCCUUAACCAACAAUGCAGUUCAAGAAAUAGAGUUAAGAAAAUAUUUACUGAAUAAACGAAAGUUAAAAAUAAAAAAAAAUCAACGUAACACAAGAAAAUGACAACAAUAACGAGGCUAUAUACAGAUGGUACCGUGUGCAGGUUAGUCAAGGUCAUCUGUACAUAUAGGUGGGAUAAAGUUGCUCUGCAUAGAUAAAGAGCAGUGAGUAGCAGCAGUGUAAAAACAGGUGGAUUGGGGGUAGAAUCUGUUAAGGAGCCUUUUGAAUCGAGACUUUGCUCUCCAGUACUGCUUGUCGUGAGGUAGCAGAGAGAACAGUCUAUGACCUGGGUGACUGGAGUCUUUGACCAUUUUUUGGGCUUUCCUCUGACACCGCCUACUAUAUAGGUCCUGGAUGGCAGGAAGCUUGGCCCCAAAAAUGUACUGGGUCGUACGCACUACCCUCUGUAAUGCCUUACGUUCAGAUGCCGAGCAGUUGCCAUACCAGGCGGUGAUGCAACCAGUCAGGAUGGUGUAACUGUAGAACGUUUUGAGGAUCUGGGGCCCCAUGGCAAGUCUUUUCAGUCUCCGGAGGGGGAAAAGGUGUUGUCCUGCCCUCCUCACAACUGUCUUGGUGUGUUUGGAACAUGAUAGUUGGUGAUGUGGAAACCAAUGAACUUGAAGCUCUCAACCCGCUCCACUACAGCCCCGUUGAUGUUAGUGGGGGCCUGUUCGGCCCACCUUUUCCUGUAGUCCACGAUCAGCUCCUUUGUCUUGCUCACAUUGAGGGAGAAGUUGUUGUCCUGGCACUUCCACUGUUGUCGUCAGCAAACUUAAUGAUGGUGUUGGAGUCGUACCUGGCCACGCAGUUGUGGGUGAACAGGGAGUACAGGAGGGGACAAUGCAAACACCCAUGAGGGGCCCCCGUGUUGAGGAUCAGUGUGGCAGAUGUGCUGCUUACCUACCCUCACCACCUUGGGGGCGGCCUGUCAGGAAGUCCAGGAUCCAGUUGCAGAGGGAGGUGUUUAGUCCCAGGGUCCUUAGCUUAGUGAUGAGCUUUGAGGGCAUUAUGGUGUUGAACGCUGAGCUGUAGUCAAUGAACAGCAUUCUCACAUAGGUGUUCCUUUUGUCCAGGUGGGAAGGGCAGUGUGGAGUGUGAUUGAGAUUGCCUCAUCUGUGGAUCUGUUGGGGCGGUAUGUAAAUUGGAGUGGGUCCAGGGUGUCCGGGAAGAUGCUGUUGAUGUGAGCCAUGACCAGCCUUUCAAAGCACUUCAUGGCUACCGAUGUGAAAAUCAUUUAGGCAGGUUACCUUCCGUCUGUGUGUGUCUGUGUAGCUCUAACAACAUCAUUAACAUAAAGCUGUUUAAUGAUAAAACCUGUCUCCUCCCCUCCCUCCAUCAUAGAUGAUGUGUUGCCUGUAACAGGAGGGUAGCUGGGCCGUGGAUAGAGAGAUGGAGGGAGACAGGGAUGUAGGGUAGCUGGGAUGGAAGGAAGGAGGCAGAGGGGGGAUAUGACACCGAAAAGGAGACGAUCAUUAGUUUAAUUCAUGAGGGGUGCUGGUUAAGUGCCAGAUAGUCGCUCUGAGCGCUAAUGGUCCUCUCUCUCUUUCUCUCUCUCAUUCCUCUCUCUCUUUCUCUCUCUCAUUCCUCUCUCUCUUUCUCUCAUUCCUCUCUCUCUUUCUCUCAUUCCUCUCUCUCUUUCUCUCUCUCCUCUCUCUCUCUCAUUCCUCUCUCUCUCUCAUUCCUCUCUCUCUUUCUCUCUCUCAUUC
This is a long non-coding RNA of Oncorhynchus tshawytscha (Chinook salmon), 1936 nucleotides long. The record is from Ensembl. Lineage: Eukaryota; Metazoa; Chordata; Actinopteri; Salmoniformes; Salmonidae.